RNAcentral lists this ribosomal RNA (882 nucleotides) under uncultured Thiotrichales bacterium. RNAcentral's name for it is "SSU rRNA". It matches the Rfam family "Bacterial small subunit ribosomal RNA", at positions 24 to 897 of the family's 1533-position model. Lineage: Bacteria; Pseudomonadati; Pseudomonadota; Gammaproteobacteria; Thiotrichales. The record is from RNAcentral.
UCAGAUUGAACGCNGGCGGUAUGCUUAACACAUGCAAGUCGAACGGAAACGAAACUAGCUUGCUAGUAGGCGUCGAGUGGCGGACGGGUGAGUAACGCGUAGGAAUCUGCCUGAUAGUGGGGGAUAGCCCGAAGAAAUUCGGAUUAAUACCGCAUAAUCUAUUCGUAGUAAAGUGGGGGACUUUCGAGCCUCACGCUAUCAGAUGAGCCUGCGUAAGAUUAGCUUGUUGGUAGGGUAAAAGCCUACCAAGGCAACGAUCUUUAGCUGGUCUGAGAGGAUGAUCAGCCACAUCGGGACUGAGACACGGCCCGAACUCCUACGGGAGGCAGCAGUGGGGAAUAUUGGACAAUGGGGGCAACCCUGAUCCAGCAAUACCGCGUGUGUGAAGAAGGCCUGAGGGUUGUAAAGCACUUUCAAUUAUGAAGAAAAGUUAACGGUUAAUAACCGUUGACCUUGACGUUAAUUUUAGAAGAAGCACCGGCUAACUCCGUGCCAGCAGCCGCGGUAAUACGGAGGGUGCAAGCGUUAAUCGGAAUUACUGGGCGUAAAGCGUGCGUAGGCGGUUUAUUAAGUCAGAUGUGAAAGCCCCGGGCUUAACCUGGGAACUGCAUUUGAAACUGGUCAACUAGAGUAUGGCAGAGGAAAGUGGAAUUUCUGGUGUAGCGGUGAAAUGCGUAGAUAUCAGAAGGAACAUCAAUGGCGAAGGCAGCUUUCUGGACCAAUACUGACGCUGAGGUACGAAAGCGUGGGUAGCAAACAGGAUUAGAUACCCUGGUAGUCCACGCCGUAAACGAUGAUAACUAGCCGUUGGGGGGAUUUACCCCUUAGUGGCGAAGCUAACGCGUUAAGUUAUCCGCCUGGGGAGUACGGCCGCNAGGCUAA